AUUUGCUAACAAUAUUUAAUAUAUUUUAAAUGUGCUAAAAUUGGAUUCAACAGCAAAAGUCGCAUAAAUAACAUAUAAAUAACGAAUUUGUUUACCUAUUACAAAUGGGGUUAUGUGGUUGUAACUGUUUAUUUUGGGAAUAAAAUGAAAAUGAUCAAUUAAACGACUGGAAAACUAUAGUAAAGUGAAGAACAUCUUGAAGUUCCAAUGAUGUUUCAAGAUGAGAUAAAUCGAAAUAAUGGUUGUAUGUUAGAAGGACAGAGAAUACGAAGAAAUGUUAUUGCUGCAUACUUAGUGUAGUGAAAUACAAACUUCAAACAUUAUAA
Diabrotica virgifera virgifera (western corn rootworm) is the source of this 326-nucleotide long non-coding RNA. RefSeq lists it as uncharacterized. The transcript is spliced from 2 exons. Lineage: Eukaryota; Metazoa; Arthropoda; Insecta; Coleoptera; Chrysomelidae. The record is from RefSeq and is a predicted model, not a curated record.